CCGAGUUUACAACUCCCAAACCCCUGUGAACAUACCACUUGUUGCCUCGGCGGAUCAGCCCGCUCCCGGUAAAACGGGACGGCCCGCCAGAGGACCCCUAAACUCUGUUUCUAUAUGUAACUUCUGAGUAAAACUAUAAAUAAAUCA
RNAcentral lists this unclassified non-coding RNA (147 nucleotides) under soil metagenome. RNAcentral's name for it is "partial internal transcribed spacer 1". The record is from RNAcentral.